Molecule: ribosomal RNA, 497 nt
Filed under: uncultured bacterium
Lineage: Bacteria
Description: bacterial SSU rRNA
Rfam family: Bacterial small subunit ribosomal RNA
Source: RNAcentral
UUAGAACCGCGUCGGCGGACAUCGCCUUACACAUGACAAGUCGAAACGGUAACGAGGGAGUCUUGCUCCGCUGACGAGUGGACGAACGGGUGAGUAAUGUAUCGGAACGUACCAUUCAGGUGGGGAAGUAACGUAGACGAAAGUUACGCUAAUACCGCAUAUUCUGUGAGCAGGAAAGCAGGGGAUCGCAAGACCUUGCGCUGAUUGAGCGGCCGAUAUCAGAUUAGCUAGUUGGUGAGGUAAAGGCUCACCAAGGCGACGAUCUGUAGCGGGUCUGAGAGGAUGAUCCGCCACACUGGAACUGAGACACGGUCCAGACUCCUACGGGAGGCAGCAGUGGGGAAUUUUGGACAAUGGGGGCAACCCUGAUCCAGCCAUGCCGCGUGAGUGAAGAAGGCCUUCGGGUUGUAAAGCUCUUUCGGCCGGGAAAAAAUCGCAUCAGUUAAUACCUGGUGUGGAUGAUGGUACCGGAAUAAGAAGCACCGGCUAACUACGUG